This 609-nucleotide ribosomal RNA is filed under the name uncultured bacterium. RNAcentral describes it as "bacterial SSU rRNA". The stretch from base 1 to 517 matches the Rfam family "Bacterial small subunit ribosomal RNA", at positions 338 to 873 of the family's 1533-position model. The record is from RNAcentral.
CCUACGGGAGGCAGCAGUGGGGAAUCUUGCGCAAUGGGCGAAAGCCUGACGCAGCCAUGCCGCGUGAAUGAUGAAGGUCUUAGGAUUGUAAAAUUCUUUCACCGGGGACGAUAAUGACGGUACCCGGAGAAGAAGCCCCGGCUAACUUCGUGCCAGCAGCCGCGGUAAUACGAAGGGGGCUAGCGUUGCUCGGAAUUACUGGGCGUAAAGGGAGCGUAGGCGGAUAGUUUAGUCAGAGGUGAAAGCCCAGGGCUCAACCUUGGAAUUGCCUUUGAUACUGGCUAUCUUGAGUACGGAAGAGGUAUGUGGAACUCCGAGUGUAGAGGUGAAAUUCGUAGAUAUUCGGAAGAACACCAGUGGCGAAGGCGACAUACUGGUCCGUUACUGACGCUGAGGCUCGAAAGCGUGGGGAGCAAACAGGAUUAGAUACCCUGGUAGUCCACGCUGUAAACGAUGAGUGCUAGUUGUCGGCAGGCAUGCCUGUCGGUGACGCAGCUACGACAUAAGACACUCCGCCGUCGGGGAGGUACGGUCGGCGAAGAAUUAAACUAACAAAGGAAAGUUAGACGGCGUGAGACGUGCCGAACGGACGACGACGAGGGAGGUAGG